CUAAGCUGCUAGUUCAAUUGGGUUCCAGAAAUUCAGCAUACUUAAAUCUGCGAAUGUAGCAGGUGCUCUCUGGUUCUAACUAACAAAUGGAUCUCCAGUUAAUAGGAUAUGGAGCUCUUUGGUACCUAUAUUGAGGCUGGUGACCACUGCUUCUCUUAACACGGGACCACAAAGUUGCAGAAGUGUAUGGGCAUACAGAAAUGUGACAAACUGCAAUUAUGGAGCUUAUUUCCUCCUUGCUGCCUGCACCCACUCUGCCCUACAACCUUGCUGUCUAGAGGGUCCUUCCAGCCGCAGCUUGGACAAGAAUGAUCUCUGCGGGCAUUUGCGGGAAAUCACAGCCACCCAAAGCACAGUAACAGCAGUGACUGCAGUUCACACAGACAACUAACUUCUUUCUACUGAAUAGACCCUGUCCUUUACAGAAAUGUGAUACUUAUGCAGGAAAUUGUGAAUAAACGGUGUAAUUAUUUAACUAAUCACAAACAAAAAUCUUUUCUUCCUACCUCCUAAUCAGCUUAGUAUUUGUAAAUCAAAACCUUUGAAACUUGGGAAAAUUCAUAAUAAAAUACAUUAGGCUAGAAAAUUAAUUUCAUUAGAUGUUGAAGAGAAACCAAGAUCAGAUAUUUUUUCUUUACUUUAGCAAAUGUGAGUGUUCAAAAGAAAAAAAAACAACAGUACUUUAAGUUUAGUCAUUCCAUUAUAAGCAGUCUUUUCAUUUUAGCCAUUACAGAAAAAAAUACAAGACAUGGAGAAAAAAGCUUGUACACUGUAUAUUGAAUGCGGUAUAUUAAAAAUUACAUUUAGUUUUGAAUAUUAAAUGCAAAAUUAGCUAAGAAUUCAUUCUAGCUAAACCAUAUUUACAUAUAUAUAACAAUAUUCUUUUAAGAGAAGGUAAAUACAGUGACUGCAGCUCUGAAAAUUAUUUCCAAGUGUAGGUACAUGUAUCCUUAUACUCAUAUGUAUAAUUUAAGAAUAUAAUGUUUGUUUACUAUGCUAGACUGAAUAAAUGCAGUAUAGCAGUUAAUACGGGAACUACUGUAGACUUAAUACAGUCAUGGGACUUGUAUAAAUAAAUAACCAAGCAUGGAGUUUUAUGGA
This is a long non-coding RNA of Numida meleagris (helmeted guineafowl), 1101 nucleotides long. RefSeq lists it as uncharacterized. The record is from RefSeq and is a predicted model, not a curated record. The transcript is spliced from 2 exons. NCBI's taxonomy places the organism in Eukaryota, Metazoa, Chordata, Aves, Galliformes, Numididae.